Non-coding RNA from Orycteropus afer afer, 372 nucleotides. NCBI's taxonomy places the organism in Eukaryota, Metazoa, Chordata, Mammalia, Tubulidentata, Orycteropodidae. The record is from the annotation of a RefSeq genome assembly.
AUGGCCUGGACCCCACUCGUCUUCCUCACCUUCCUCCUUCACUGCCCAGGGUCCCUCUCACAGCCUGUGCUGACCCAGGCGCCCUCUGCGUCUGCCUCCCUGGGAGCCUCCGUCAAAAUCACCUGCACCCUGGGCAGUCAGCACAGCACCUACACCAUCGGAUGGUUUCAGCAGAGAGCAGGGAACUCUCCUCGGUAUGUGAUGUAUGUUAAGAGUGACGGAAGCCACAGCAAGGGGGGCGGGAUCCCCGAUUGCUUCUCAGGCUCCAGCUCUGGGGCUGACCGCUACCUGACCAUCUCCAACGUGCAGUCUGAGGACGAGGCUGACUACAUCUGUGGUGCAGAUUAUGGCACUGGGGGACAAUAUGGUUAA